UACGUAUGGUGCAAGCGUUAUCCGGAUUUACUGGGUGUAAAGGGAGCGUAGGCGGCGCGUUAAGUCUGAUGUGAAAACCCGAGGCUCAACCACGGGAGUGCAUUGGAAACUGGCGAGCUGGAGUGCCGGAGAGGUAAGCGGAAUUCCUAGUGUAGCGGUGAAAUGCGUAGAUAUUAGGAGGAACAUCAGUGGAGAAGGCGACUAUCUGGACAGCAACUGACACUGAGGCACGAAAGCGUGGGGAGCAAACAGG
RNAcentral lists this ribosomal RNA (253 nucleotides) under uncultured Eubacteriales bacterium. RNAcentral describes it as "uncultured Clostridiales bacterium partial 16S ribosomal RNA". It matches the Rfam family "Bacterial small subunit ribosomal RNA", at positions 524 to 776 of the family's 1533-position model. The record is from RNAcentral. Lineage: Bacteria; Bacillati; Bacillota; Clostridia; Eubacteriales.